RNAcentral lists this unclassified non-coding RNA (332 nucleotides) under soil metagenome. Its description in RNAcentral is "partial contains 5.8S ribosomal RNA, internal transcribed spacer 2, and large subunit ribosomal RNA". The stretch from base 1 to 120 matches the Rfam family "5.8S ribosomal RNA", at positions 35 to 154 of the family's 154-position model. The record is from RNAcentral.
GAUGAAGAACGCAGCGAAAUGCGAUAAGUAGUGUGAAUUGCAGAAUUCCGUGAAUCAUCGAAUCUUUGAACGCACAUUGCGCCUCCUGGUAAUCCGUGAGGCAUGCCUGUCCGAGCGUCAUUUCAACCAUCAAGCCCUGUUUAGGCUUGUGUUGGGGCCCUGCGGUUGCCGCAGCCCCCUAAAUGCAGUGGCGGGCUCGUUGUCACUCCGAGCGCAGUAGCGUAUCUCGCUCUGGGCGUGGCGGCGGGUGCUAGCCGUGAAACACCCACUAAGGUUGACCUCGGAUCAGGUAGGAAUACCCGCUGAACUUAAGCAUAUCAAUAAGCGGAGGA